RNAcentral lists this ribosomal RNA (255 nucleotides) under uncultured bacterium. RNAcentral describes it as "partial 16S ribosomal RNA". It matches the Rfam family "Bacterial small subunit ribosomal RNA", at positions 524 to 776 of the family's 1533-position model. The record is from RNAcentral.
UACGUAGGGUGCGAGCGUUAAUCGGAAUUACUGGGCGUAAAGCGUGCGCAGGCGGUUUUGUAAGUCUGACGUGAAAUCCCCGGGCUUAACCUGGGAAUUGCGUUGGAGACUGCAAGGCUGGAGUCUGGCAGAGGGGGGUAGAAUUCCGACGUGUGAGCAGUGAAAUGCGUAGAGAUGUGGAGGAACACCGAUGGCGAAGGCAGCCCCUGGGUCAAGAUUGACGCUCAUGCACGAAAGGCGUGGGGAGCAAACGAG